This 328-nucleotide ribosomal RNA is filed under the name uncultured eukaryote. RNAcentral's name for it is "partial 18S ribosomal RNA". It matches the Rfam family "Eukaryotic small subunit ribosomal RNA", at positions 1470 to 1796 of the family's 1831-position model. The record is from RNAcentral.
CCCUUAGAUGUCCUGGGCCGCACGCGCGCUACACUGAUGCAUGCAACGAGUUUAUAACCUUGGCCUGAAAGGUCUGGGUAAUCUUUUGAACGUGCAUCGUGAUAGGGAUAGAUUAUUGCAAUUGUUAAUCUUGAACGAGGAAUUCCUAGUAAACGCGAGUCAUCAGCUCGCAUUGAUUACGUCCCUGCCCUUUGUACACACCGCCCGUCGCACCUACCGAUUGAAUGGUUCGGUGAAGAUCUCGGACUUCGAUAUUUAUUCUUUAUUGAGUUUAUAUUGUGGGAAGUUAUCUAAACCUCAUCAUUUAGAGGAAGGAGAAGUCGUAACA